Molecule: ribosomal RNA, 388 nt
Filed under: uncultured bacterium
Lineage: Bacteria
Description: bacterial SSU rRNA
Rfam family: Bacterial small subunit ribosomal RNA
Source: RNAcentral
GACGAACGCUGGCGGCGUGCUUAACACAUGCAAGUCGAGCGGUAAGGCCCUUUCGGGGGUACACGGGCGGCGAACGGGUGAGUAACACGUGGGUGACCUGCCCUCAGCUCUGGGAUAAGCCUGGGAAACCGGGUCUAAUACUGGAUAUGACUCCAUGACGCAUGUUGUGGGGUGGAAAGCCUUGUGCGGCUGAGGAUGGGCCCGCGGCCUAUCAGCUUGUUGGUGGGGUGANGGCCUACCAAGGCGACGACGGGUAGCCGGCCUGAGAGGGCGACCGGCCACACUGGGACUGAGACACGGCCCAGACUCCUACGGGAGGCAGCAGUGGGGAGUCUUGCGCAAUGGGCGAAAGCCUGACGCAGCGACGCCGCGUGAGGGAUGACGGCCU